Molecule: ribosomal RNA, 468 nt
Filed under: uncultured bacterium
Lineage: Bacteria
Description: partial 16S ribosomal RNA
Rfam family: Bacterial small subunit ribosomal RNA
Source: RNAcentral
GACGAACGCUGGCGGCGUGCUUAACACAUGCAAGUCGAACGGAAAGGCCCUGCUUUUGUGGGGUGCUCGAGUGGCGAACGGGUGAGUAACACGUGAGUAACCUGCCCUUGACUUUGGGAUAACUUCAGGAAACUGGGGCUAAUACCGGAUAGGAGCUCCUGCCGCAUGGUGGGGGUUGGAAAGUUUCGGCGGUUGGGGAUGGACUCGCGGCUUAUCAGCUUGUUGGUGGGGUAGUGGCUUACCAAGGCUUUGACGGGUAGCCGGCCUGAGAGGGUGACCGGCCACAUUGGGACUGAGAUACGGCCCAGACUCCUACGGGAGGCAGCAGUGGGGAAUAUUGCACAAUGGGCGGAAGCCUGAUGCAGCAACGCCGCGUGCGGGAUGACGGCCUUCGGGUUGUAAACCGCUAUCGCCUGUGACGAAGCGUGAGUGACGGUAAUGGGUAAAGAAGCACCGGCUAACUACGUG